RNAcentral lists this ribosomal RNA (301 nucleotides) under uncultured bacterium. RNAcentral describes it as "partial 16S ribosomal RNA". It matches the Rfam family "Bacterial small subunit ribosomal RNA", at positions 509 to 807 of the family's 1533-position model. The record is from RNAcentral.
CAGCAGCCGCGGUAAUACGAAGGGUGCAAGCGUUAAUCGGAAUCACUGGGCGUAAAGCGUGCGUAGGCGGUUUGUUAAGUCUGUUGUGAAAUCCCCGGGCUCAACCUGGGAAUGGCAAUGGAUACUGGCAAGCUAGAGUGUGUCAGAGGAUGGUGGAAUUCCCGGUGUAGCGGUGAAAUGCGUAGAGAUCGGGAGGAACAUCAGUGGCGAAGGCGGCCAUCUGGGACAACACUGACGCUGAGGCACGAAAGCGUGGGGAGCAAACAGGAUUAGAUACCCGAGUAGUCCCUGUCUCUUAUAC